Molecule: ribosomal RNA, 454 nt
Filed under: Enterococcus hirae
Lineage: Bacteria; Bacillati; Bacillota; Bacilli; Lactobacillales; Enterococcaceae
Description: bacterial SSU rRNA
Rfam family: Bacterial small subunit ribosomal RNA
Source: RNAcentral
GCGGCGUGCCUAAUACAUGCAAGUCGAACGUCUUCUUUUUCCACCGGAGCUUGCUCCACCGGAAAAAGAGGAGUGGCGAACGGGUGAGUAACACGUGGGUAACCUGCCCAUCAGAAGGGGAUAACACUUGGAAACAGGUGCUAAUACCGUAUAACAAUCGAAACCGCAUGGUUUUGAUUUGAAAGGCGCUUUCGGGUGUCGCUGAUGGAUGGACCCGCGGUGCAUUAGCUAGUUGGUGAGGUAACGGCUCACCAAGGCGACGAUGCAUAGCCGACCUGAGAGGGUGAUCGGCCACAUUGGGACUGAGACACGGCCCAAACCUCCUACGGGAGGCAGCAGUAGGGAAUCUUCGGCAAUGGACGAAAGUCUGACCGAGCAACCGCCGCCGUGAGUGAAGAAGGUUUUCGGAUCGUAAAACUCUGUUGGUUAGAGAAGAACCAGGAUGAGAGUACUG